Molecule: long non-coding RNA, 561 nt
Filed under: Homo sapiens (human)
Lineage: Eukaryota; Metazoa; Chordata; Mammalia; Primates; Hominidae
Description: non-protein coding lnc-PABPC4L-5:11
Source: RNAcentral
GAGUGUGAGAGCGAGAACAGCCCCGCAGGUCCCGAGGCGCUGGCUGGGGACAAUGCCGCGGAAAGUUCCCAGUCCCCAGCCGCAGAUCUGCAGAAUUGAAAUGAAAUGUUUUGAGCUCUUCAAGCUGACUCGUCAGAAUCCUGGAGCCUUUUAAAAAAUGACGAAUUGGAAGGAAAAAUUACUUUAUCAAUAACCAGGCUCCACCAGGAUUGACCUAGAUGGUUGUUCCUGGCACUUGUCAUUCUCAGCAAGCACAGCUCAGAGAACAAAUACAAAAGACCCAAAGUGCAUUGCAUCUUUUAUGGAAGUGCCCAAUGUGGAAAUCAUAGAUUUCAAGGAAGGAACAAGAAAAUUGAUGAAACAAGUUCAAAAGAAAGGUACCUGUGCCUCAUCAUUCCUAAAGAACACUGAUCAAUGAUCCCAGAAGUAUGCCAUGUUCUCUUAAUUCAUCAGAGACUGAAAGCAAAGGAAAAUCAAGAAAUAAGCUUGGCCAAUUUGAUGUCAAUGGAAAUGCGUGAGAUUUUUAUUCAGCAUUCACACCUGAGCAAUGCUUUUGGUAUG